Molecule: ribosomal RNA, 377 nt
Filed under: uncultured eukaryote
Lineage: Eukaryota
Description: partial 18S ribosomal RNA
Rfam family: Eukaryotic small subunit ribosomal RNA
Source: RNAcentral
CAAUAGCGUAUAUUUAAGUUGCUGCAGUUAAAAAGCUCGUAGUUGGAUUUCGGGUGGGAAUGGCCGGUCCGCCGUUUCGGUGUGCACUUGCUACGCCCACCUUGCUGCCGGGGACGUGCUCUUGAGUUCACGCUCGGGACACGGAGUCGGCGAGGUUACUUUGAGUAAAUUAGAGUGUUCAAAGCAGGCCUACGCUCUGAAUACAUUAGCAUGGAAUAACACGAUAGGACUCUGGCCUAUCUUGUUGGUCUGUAGGACCGGAGUAAUGAUUAAGAGGGACAGUCGGGGGCAUUCGUAUUUCAUUGUCAGAGGUGAAAUUCUUGGAUUUAUGAAAGACGAACUGCUGCGAAAGCAUUUGCCAAGGAUGUUUUCAUUAA